GUAAAUACCUAAAAAAUACAACCUAAAAUAGAAAAAAGUAGAACGCAGUAAUGUAAUAUUGCACUCACUAGAGUUUAAUUGAUUGCAGGCUCAUAACAGAAUCUUUUAAGGGAUUCUCUAGUCUAGAGUGCCCACAUCGCUGAAGGAGUUAAAACCCUUUCAGCCACUUCCCUAAAUCCAGCGCUGAUGUCCCUCAGUGCUGGGUCAGUCUGCCAGCAAUGGCCACGCUCGCAUUAGGAUUUUCCGUGACGCUGGAUAGCGUGAGG
Non-coding RNA from Pelobates cultripes (western spadefoot toad), 266 nucleotides. The record is from the annotation of a GenBank genome assembly. Lineage: Eukaryota; Metazoa; Chordata; Amphibia; Anura; Pelobatidae.